Molecule: ribosomal RNA, 520 nt
Filed under: uncultured Glomus
Lineage: Eukaryota; Fungi; Glomeromycota; Glomeromycetes; Glomerales; Glomeraceae
Description: SSU rRNA
Rfam family: Eukaryotic small subunit ribosomal RNA
Source: RNAcentral
AGCAACCGCGGUAAUUCCAGCUCCAAUAGCGUAUAUUAAAGUUGUUGCAGUUAAAAAGCUCGUAGUUGAAUUUCGGGAUCAAUACGUCGGUCGUGCCUCUGGUAUGUACUGGUGUUAUUGAUUUCUCCUUUCUGAUGAGCCAUGAUGUCAUUAAUUUGGUGUUGUGGGGAGUCAGGACUGUUACUUUGAAAAAAUUAGAGUGUUUAAAGCAGGCUUACGCUUGAAUACAUUAGCAUGGAAUAAUGAAAUAGGACGUUCGAUCCUAUUUUGUUGGUUUCUAGGAUCAACGUAAUGAUUAAUAGGGAUAGUUGGGGGCAUUAGUAUUCAAUUGUCAGAGGUGAAAUUCUUGGAUUUAUUGAAGACUAACUACUGCGAAAGCAUUUGCCAAGGAUGUUUUCAUUAAUCAAGAACGAAAGUUAGGGGAUCGAAGACGAUCAGAUACCGUCGUAGUCUUAACCAUAAACUAUGCCGACUAGGGAUCGGAUGAUGUUAAUUUUUAAUGACUCAUUCGGCGCCUUAA